This 464-nucleotide ribosomal RNA is filed under the name uncultured bacterium. RNAcentral's name for it is "bacterial SSU rRNA". It matches the Rfam family "Bacterial small subunit ribosomal RNA", at positions 28 to 524 of the family's 1533-position model. The record is from RNAcentral.
GACGAACGCUGGCGGCAUGCCUAACACAUGCAAGUCUAGGGGUAGCAAUACCACUGGCGCACGGGUGAGUAACACGUAGGUUAUCUGCCCCCAUCACAGACAUAACCCGGGAACCGGGGCUAAUAUCUGAUGAGGUCGCGAGAUCAAAGCUUCGGCGGAUGGGGAUGAGCCUGCGGCUGAUUAGCUAGUUGGUGAGGUAAUGGCUCACCAAGGCGACGAUCAGUAGCUGGUCUGAGAGGACGAACAGCCACACUGGAACUGAGACACGGUCCAGACUCCUACGGGAGGCAGCAGUGAGGAAUAUUGGUCAAUGGGAGCAAUCCUGAACCAGCAAUGCCGCGUGUGGGAUGACAGGGCUUCGCCUUGUAAACCACUGUCGGACGGGACGAAAGGAGGCCUCGGGCCUCUGGGACGGUACCGUCAAAGGAAGGGUCGGCUAACUACGUGCCAGCAGCCGCGGUAAU